This 583-nucleotide ribosomal RNA is filed under the name Spongiobothrium sp. RNAcentral describes it as "SSU rRNA". It matches the Rfam family "Eukaryotic small subunit ribosomal RNA", at positions 437 to 901 of the family's 1831-position model. The record is from RNAcentral. Lineage: Eukaryota; Metazoa; Platyhelminthes; Cestoda; Rhinebothriidea; Rhinebothriidae.
CAAAUUACCCACUCCCAGUACGGGAAGGUGGUGACGAAAAAUACCGAUGCGGGACUCCUUUAANAGGCUCCGUAAUCGGAAUGAGUGAACUCUAAAUCCUUUCACGAGGAUCAAUUGAGGCAAGUCUGGUGCCAGCACCCGCGGUAACUCCAGCUCCAAUAGCGUAUAUUAAAGUUGCUGCAGUUAAAAAGCUCGUAGUUGGAUCUCGGUACUACUGGAGCCUGCCUGGAAGACCGGCGCUAAGGUGGCUUCUGCUUGCCUAUGCAACGGGAAGAAGGGUAGGGCCUCUGGUGUCACCUUUCAGCCAUGUCUGUGGUGAAAUACCCGCAGGUGUAGGCGAGUGUCAGGCGGUGCUUUGCGACAGUAAGGCCCGUCGGCUCGUUUGCAUGCCUUUGGAUGCCCUUCAAAAGGUGUCUGUGGGCGGAUGGCACGUUUACUUUGAACAAAUUUGAGUGCUCAAACCAGGCCGAUGUUGCCUGAAAAGUUUUGCAUGGAAUAAUGGAAUAGGACUUCGGUUCUAUUUCGUUGGUUUUCGGAUCCGAAGUAAUGAUCAAAAGAGACAGGCGGGGACGUUUGUAUUGGA